CGCGGCCUAUCAGCUUGUUGGUGGGGUAAUGGCCUACCAAGGCGACGACGGGUAGCCGGCCUGAGAGGGCGACCGGCCACACUGGGACUGAGACACGGCCCAGACUCCUACGGGAGGCAGCAGUGGGGAAUAUUGCACAAUGGGCGAAAGCCUGAUGCAGCGACGCCGCGUGAGGGAUGACGGCCUUCGGGUUGUAAACCUCUUUCAGCAGGGACGAAGCGUAAGUGACGGUACCUGCAGAAGAAGCGCCGGCCGACUACGUGCCAGCAGCCGCGGUAAGACGUAGGGCGCGAGCGUUGUCCGGAUUUAUUGGGCGUAAAGAGCUCGUAGGCGGCUUGUCGCGUCGACUGUGAAAACCCGCAGCUCAACUGCGGGCCUGCAGUCGAUACGGGCAGGCUAGAGUUCGGUAGGGGAGACUGGAAUUCCUGGUGUAGCGGUGGAAUGCGCAGAUAUCAGGAGGAACACCGGUGGCGAAGGCGGGUCUCUGGGCCGAUACUGACGCUGAGGAGCGAAAGCGUGGGGAGCGAACGGGAUUAGAUACCCUGGUAGUCCACGCUGUAAACGUUGGGCGCUAGGUGUGGGGGACCUCUCCGGUUCUCUGUGCCGCAGCUAACGCAUUAAGCGCCCCGCCUGGGGAGUACGG
RNAcentral lists this ribosomal RNA (643 nucleotides) under uncultured bacterium. Its description in RNAcentral is "bacterial SSU rRNA". It matches the Rfam family "Bacterial small subunit ribosomal RNA", at positions 232 to 885 of the family's 1533-position model. The record is from RNAcentral.